GUAGGGAAUAUUGGACAAUGGGGGCAACCCUGAUCCAGCGACGCCGCGUGAGUGAUGAAGGCCUUCGGGUCGUAAAGCUCUGUUGCAGGGGAAGAACACAAUGACGGUACCCUGCUAGAAAGGAUCGGCUAACUUCGUGCCAGCAGCCGCGGUAAGACGAGGGAUCCUAGCGUUGUUCGGAAUUAUUGGGCGUAAAGCGGGUGCAGGUGGCUUGGUAAGUCAGAUGUGAAAGCCUGGUGCUUAACGGCAGAAGUGCAUUUGAUACUGCUGAGCUUGAGUGCUGGAGAGGCUAUUAGAAUUCCUGGUGUAGUGGUGAAAUACGUAGAUAUCAGGAGGAAUACCGGAGGCGAAGGCGGAUAGCUGGCCAGACACUGACACUCAGACCCGAAAGCGUGGGGAUCAAACAGGAUUAGAAACCCCUGUAGUCC
Molecule: ribosomal RNA, 428 nt
Filed under: uncultured bacterium
Lineage: Bacteria
Description: partial 16S ribosomal RNA
Rfam family: Bacterial small subunit ribosomal RNA
Source: RNAcentral